GAUGUGAAAUAACACCUUCUCAGGGCAGAGCGAUUGACAGGCGCUGGUGUGAAGGAGAAAGAGGAGAACCGAAUCACCUUUCCCGAAUGCAGGCCAACUUUUUAAACUCAAUUCUCUAAGAGGAGGCUUCUGCGCUAAAUUUUGUGGUGUCUGCCCCUUGCCCAAAGUUCUGGAACUAUUUAGGAAGAAGGUGGACUUGUCCUGGCCAGUGUCUGGUCUCCAAGAAGCCCCUCUGCCAAGGAUCCUUUCAGAGAUGCAAGAAGCAAAGGAUUUUUGAUUGAGACAGUCGGAGGGCACCCAGGAGCUCCCAGAAAUGGGGAAGGGUGGGAAUCCGCGUGGGAUCAGCGCCCAGACGCCGCCGCCCUAGCCCUUGCGGUGGCAAGGCUGCGUGGAAGCCCACUCCCCGGCCCCGCGCCACAUUUCCUUCUGGCGCUGGGGAACAUUGUUCCAGAAAACGUGGGCUGAAUCGCGGUGCGAAUAUUAGGGGCGGGAGGAGAAGGCCCGGCGCGCCGAGCCAGUAAUCCGAGCUCUUGAUUAUCCAGAUUCGGAUCAAACGGGGCGGCGGCGGCCGGCCCCCUCCUGGGAAUGAUUAGAUGAUUAAUGUAAUGCUGUUUGAAGGGUCUCUGUUUUCUCUCUUAAUUUGGGUCAUUACUUAGAAAGCAAGCGUGAGAUCAUUUCAUCAGCGUGCUCGGCGGCGGAGAUAGCUAUUCAGGAAAUGGGCUAACUGAGCGGUAAUCAGGACGCUGGGGGCGGCGGCGGCUGCGAGCCGCAGGAGCCCGGAUGCGCCCUCCCGCGGCAGGGCGCACCGCACCCGGAGGCCGGCCUCAGACCACAGCGCGGGCCGCGGAGCCCUAAAGCUCGGAAUGCGCUGGGACACUUGGCCCCCAGUUCUCGCCGCCAGGAAUGACUGAGUGGAAGAGUGGCUCCCCUUACAUCACCCAGACAAGAGGGAAUGCCCAGAAAGCGCCCCGGCGCGGCAGUGCCCAUGCCAUCUACCCCACUGUGGUGGGGCUCUUUGCUCUAGGACACGCAUCCCAAACCUGCUCUCCAACACCUAGCCACUUUGAAUCCCUUCUUUUUAAAAAACUCACCCAAAUAUGGCAACACCCAGAAUCCCUUGGUCAGAACAGUUAGCAAAUAAAAACUUGGUACAACGUGAGGGCCGUUGUAGGCCUUUACAUCCUUGGUUCCUGGGGGGAUCUGAACACGUUAGCGUGGCAGGAGGACCGAUCUGGCCUCACCCUGGUUC
Bos taurus (domestic cattle) is the source of this 1249-nucleotide long non-coding RNA. Lineage: Eukaryota; Metazoa; Chordata; Mammalia; Artiodactyla; Bovidae. The record is from Ensembl.